This 550-nucleotide ribosomal RNA is filed under the name uncultured bacterium. RNAcentral's name for it is "bacterial SSU rRNA". It matches the Rfam family "Bacterial small subunit ribosomal RNA", at positions 55 to 623 of the family's 1533-position model. The record is from RNAcentral.
AUGCAAGUCGAGCGGAAAGGCCCUUCGGGGUACUCGAGCGGCGAACGGGUGAGUAACACGUGAGCAACCUGCCCCUGGCUCUGGGAUAGCCUCCGGAAACGGGGAUUAAUACCGGAUAUGACCUGGGACUUCAUGGUUCCGGGUGGAAAGUUUUUCGGCCAGGGUGGGGCUCGCGGCCUAUCAGCUUGUUGGGGGGGUGACGGCCCACCAAGGCGACGACGGGUAGCCGGCCUGAGAGGGCGACCGGCCACACUGGGACUGAGACACGGCCCAGACUCCUACGGGAGGCAGCAGUGGGGAAUAUUGCGCAAUGGGCGGAAGCCUGACGCAGCGACGCCGCGUGGGGGAUGAAGGCCUUCGGGUUGUAAACCUCUUUCAGCAGGGACGAAGCUAACGUGACGGUACCUGCAGAAGAAGCGCCGGCUAACUACGUGCCAGCAGCCGCGGUAAUACGUAGGGCGCAAGCGUUGUCCGGAUUUAUUGGGCGUAAAGAGCUCGUAGGCGGCCUGUCGCGUCUGCUGUGAAAUCCCGGGGCUUAACCCCGGGCGUG